RNAcentral lists this ribosomal RNA (376 nucleotides) under uncultured bacterium. RNAcentral's name for it is "bacterial SSU rRNA". It matches the Rfam family "Bacterial small subunit ribosomal RNA", at positions 524 to 898 of the family's 1533-position model. The record is from RNAcentral.
UACGGAGGGCGCAAGCGUUGUUCGGAAUCACUGGGCGUAAAGCGCGUGUAGGCGGCUUGGUAAGUCGGGUGUGAAAGCCCGGGGCUCAACCCCGGAACUGCACUCGAAACUGCCUCGCUCGAGUCCCGGAGAGGGUGGUGGAAUUCCCGGUGUAGAGGUGAAAUUCGUAGAUAUCGGGAGGAACACCAGUGGCGAAGGCGGCCACCUGGACGGUGACUGACGCUGAGACGCGAAAGCGUGGGGAGCAAACAGGAUUAGAUACCCUGGUAGUCCACGCCGUAAACUUUGGGUGCUAGGCGUCGCGGGUAUUGACCCCCGCGGUGCCGCAGCUAACGCGUUAAGCACCCCGCCUGGGGAGUACGGUCGCAAGACUAAA